Molecule: ribosomal RNA, 253 nt
Filed under: uncultured bacterium
Lineage: Bacteria
Description: partial 16S ribosomal RNA
Rfam family: Bacterial small subunit ribosomal RNA
Source: RNAcentral
UACGGAGGGUGCAAGCGUUGUCCGGAUUUAUUGGGUUUAAAGGGUGCGUAGGCGGCUAUAUAAGUCAGUGGUGAAAUCCAGCAGCUUAACUGUUGAACUGCCAUUGAUACUGUAUAGCUUGAGUACAGAUGAGGUAGGCGGAAUUGAAGGUGUAGCGGUGAAAUGCAUAGAUAUCUUCAAGAACACCGAUUGCGAAGGCAGCUUACUGGGCUGUAACUGACGCUGAGGCACGAAAGUAUGGGGAUCGAACAGG